GUACUCGCUUCAGCAGCACAUAUACUAAAAUUGGAAUGAUACAGAGAUUAGCAUGGCCCCUGCACAAGGAUGACACAAAGAUUCAUGAAGCAUUCCAUAUUUUU
Lutra lutra (Eurasian river otter) is the source of this 104-nucleotide small nuclear RNA. The record is from RefSeq and is a predicted model, not a curated record. NCBI's taxonomy places the organism in Eukaryota, Metazoa, Chordata, Mammalia, Carnivora, Mustelidae.